CUCCACAACUCCUUGCAAGCUGAGGGAGCCGGCUCCGGCCUCUGCCAGCCUAGGAAGGGGCUCCCACAGUGCAGCGGCGGGCUGAAGGACUCCUCAAGUGCCACCAAAGUGGGAGCCCAGGCAGAGGAGGCGCCGAGAGCGAGCGAGGGCUGCCUGCCAGCACGCUGUCACCUCUCAGCAAUAGACUGCUCUUGAGACUGGAGUGCAAUGUUGUUAUCAUAGCUCACUGCAACCUGGAACCCCUAGUCUCAAGAGAUCCUCCAGCCUCAGCCUCCCUGUUCCAGGAUACAUGUGCAUGAUGUGCAAGUUUGCUACAUGGGUAAAUAUGUGCCAUGGCGGUUUGCUGCAUCUAUUAACCCAUUACCUAGGUAUUAAGCCCG
RNAcentral lists this long non-coding RNA (380 nucleotides) under Pan troglodytes (chimpanzee). RNAcentral's name for it is "lincRNA". The record is from RNAcentral. Lineage: Eukaryota; Metazoa; Chordata; Mammalia; Primates; Hominidae.